This 1649-nucleotide ribosomal RNA is filed under the name Cronobacter sakazakii. RNAcentral describes it as "bacterial LSU rRNA". It matches the Rfam family "Bacterial large subunit ribosomal RNA", at positions 1 to 1683 of the family's 2925-position model. Lineage: Bacteria; Pseudomonadati; Pseudomonadota; Gammaproteobacteria; Enterobacterales; Enterobacteriaceae. The record is from RNAcentral.
GGGUUGUGAGGUUAAGCGAACAAGCGUACACGGUGGAUGCCCUGGCAGUCAGAGGCGAUGAAGGACGUGCUAAUCUGCGAAAAGCGCCGGUAAGGUGAUAUGAACCGUUAUAACCGGCGAUGUCCGAAUGGGGAAACCCGGUGCACUUCGGUGCAUCAUCGUUAGCUGAAUACAUAGGCUAACGAGGCGAACCGGGGGAACUGAAACAUCUAAGUACCCCGGGGAAAGGAAAUCAACCGAGAUUCCCCCAGUAGCGGCGAGCGAACGGGGAACAGCCCAGAGCCUGAAUCAGCUUGUGUGUCAGUGGAACGGUCUGGAAAGGCCGGCGAUACAGGGUGACAGCCCCCGUACACGAAGGCACACAGGCUGUGAGCUCGAUGAGUAGGGCGGGACACGUGAUAUCCUGUCUGAAGAUGGGGGGACCAUCCUCCAAGGCUAAAUACUCCUGACUGACCGAUAGUGAACCAGUACCGUGAGGGAAAGGCGAAAAGAACCCCGGCGAGGGGAGUGAAACAGAACCUGAAACCGUGUACGUACAAGCAGUGGGAGCCUUCGUAAGAGGGUGACUGCGUACCUUUUGUAUAAUGGGUCAGCGACUUAUAUUCUGUAGCAAGGUUAACCGUAUAGGGGAGCCGAAGGGAAACCGAGUCUUAAUUGGGGCGUUAAGUUGCAGGGUAUAGACCGAAACCGGUGAUCUAGCCAUGGGCAGGUUGAAGGUUGGGUAACACUAACUGGAGGACCGAACCGACUAAUGUUGAAAAAUUAGCGGAUGACCUGUGGCUGGGGGUGAAAGGCCAAUCAAACCGGGAGAUAGCUGGUUCUCCCCGAAAGCUAUUUAGGUAGCGCCUCGUGAACUCAUCUCCGGGGGUAGAGCACUGUUUCGGCUAGGGGGCCAUCCCGGCUUACCAACCCGAUGCAAAACUGCGAAUACCGGAGAAUGUUAUCACGGGAGACACACGGCGGGUGCUAACGUCCGUCGUGAAGAGGGAAACAACCCAGACCGCCAGCUAAGGUCCCAAAGUCAUGGUUAAGUGGGAAACGAUGUGGGAAGGCCCAGACAGCCAGGAUGUUGGCUUAGAAGCAGCCAUCAUUUAAAGAAAGCGUAAUAGCUCACUGGUCGAGUCGGCCUGCGCGGAAGAUGUAACGGGGCUAAACCAUGCACCGAAGCUGCGGCAGCGACACUAUGUGUUGUUGGGUAGGGGAGCGUUCUGUAAGCCUGUGAAGGUGUGCUGUGAGGCAUGCUGGAGGUAUCAGAAGUGCGAAUGCUGACAUAAGUAACGAUAAAGCGGGUGAAAAGCCCGCUCGCCGGAAGACCAAGGGUUCCUGUCCAACGUUAAUCGGGGCAGGGUGAGUCGACCCCUAAGGCGAGGCCGAAAGGCGUAGUCGAUGGGAAACAGGUUAAUAUUCCUGUACUUGGUGUUACUGCGAAGGGGGGACGGAGAAGGCUAUGUCGGCCGGGCGACGGUUGUCCCGGUUUAAGCGUGUAGGCUGACUUUCCAGGCAAAUCCGGAAGGUUAAGGCUGAGGCGUGAUGACGAGGCACCACGGUGCUGAAGUGACAAAUGCCCUGCUUCCAGGAAAAGCCUCUAAGCAUCAGGUAACAUCAAAUCGUACCCCAAACCGACACAGGUGGUCAGGUAGAGAAUACCA